AGCGGCGGACGGUUGAGUAACACGUGAGAAUUUGCCCUUCAGUGAAGAAUAUCUCCGAGAAAUCGGGGUUAAUACUGCAUACGUCCCUUCGGGGAGAAAAGUGGCCUCUUUGCUGCUGCUGAAGGAUAAGCUUGCGGGCUAUCAGCUUGUUGGUGAGGUAAAAGCUCACCAAGGCUAUGACGGCUAGCCGGCCUGAGAGGGUGAUCGGCCAGACUGGGACUUAGGCACGGCCCAGACUCCUACGGGAGGCAGCAGUGGGGAAUAUUGCGCAAUGGGCGAAAGCCUGACGCAGCGACGCCGCGUGGAGGAUGACGGUUUUAGGAUUGUAAACUCCUGUUAAGUGGGAAGAAAGGUUCGCCUCUAAUACAGGCGAAAGAUGACGGUACCAUUAGAGAAAGCACCGGCUAACUUCGUGCCAGCAGCCGCGGUAAU
Molecule: ribosomal RNA, 432 nt
Filed under: uncultured bacterium
Lineage: Bacteria
Description: bacterial SSU rRNA
Rfam family: Bacterial small subunit ribosomal RNA
Source: RNAcentral